CCUACGGGAGGCAGCAGUGAGGAAUAUUGGUCAAUGGACGAGAGUCUGAACCAGCCAAGUAGCGUGAAGGAUGACUGCCCUAUGGGUUGUAAACUUCUUUUAUAAAUGAAUAAAACGAGGCACGUGUGCCUUUUUGCAUGUACUUUAUGAAUAAGGAUCGGCUAACUCCGUGCCAGCAGCCGCGGUAAUACGGAGGAUCCGAGCGUUAUCCGGAUUUAUUGGGUUUAAAGGGAGCGUAGAUGGGUUGUUAAGUCAGUUGUGAAAGUUUGCGGCUCAACCGUAAAAUUGCAAUUGAUACUGGCAGUCUUGAGUACAGUUGAGGUAGGCGGAAUUCGUGGUGUAGCAGUGAAAUGCUUAGAUAUCACGAAGAACCCCGAUUGCGAAGGCAGCUUACUAAACUGUGACUGACAUUGAUGCUCGAAAGUGUGGGUAUCAAACAGGAUUAGAUACCCGGGUAGUC
This 460-nucleotide ribosomal RNA is filed under the name uncultured bacterium. RNAcentral's name for it is "partial 16S ribosomal RNA". It matches the Rfam family "Bacterial small subunit ribosomal RNA", at positions 338 to 795 of the family's 1533-position model. The record is from RNAcentral.